GAGUUUGAUCGUGGCUCAGGAUGAACGCUGGCGGCGUGCUUAACACAUGCAAGUCGAACGGGGUUAUGAAGUGUGAGGAGUCAGCUUGCUGGUGACGAACAGUUCAUAACUUAGUGGCGGACGGGUGAGUAACGCGUGGGUAACCUGCCAUAUACAGGGGGGAUAACACUUAGAAAUAGGUGCUAAUACCGCAUAAGCGCACGGAGCUGCAUGGCUCAGUGUGAAAAACUCCGGUGGUAUAUGAUGGACCCGCGUCUGAUUAGCUUGUUGGCGGGGUAACGGCCCACCAAGGCGACGAUCAGUAGCCGGCCUGAGAGGGUGGACGGCCACAUUGGGACUGAGACACGGCCCAAACUCCUACGGGAGGCAGCAGUGGGGAAUAUUGGACAAUGGGGGAACCCUGAUCCAGCGACGCCGCGUGAGUGAAGAAGUAUUUCGGUAUGUAAAGCUCUAUCAGCAGGGAAGAAAGAAAUGACGGUACCUGACCAAGAAGCCCCGGCUAACUACGUGCCAGCCGCCG
Molecule: ribosomal RNA, 520 nt
Filed under: uncultured microorganism
Description: bacterial SSU rRNA
Rfam family: Bacterial small subunit ribosomal RNA
Source: RNAcentral